RNAcentral lists this ribosomal RNA (254 nucleotides) under uncultured bacterium. RNAcentral's name for it is "partial 16S ribosomal RNA". It matches the Rfam family "Bacterial small subunit ribosomal RNA", at positions 524 to 776 of the family's 1533-position model. The record is from RNAcentral.
UACGUAGGGCGCAAGCGUUGUCCGGAUUUACUGGGCGUAAAGGGCGCGUAGGCGGCCACGACAAGUCACUUGUGAAAUCUCCGGGCUUAACCCGGAACGGUCAAGUGAUACUGUCGGGCUAGAGUGCAGAAGGGGCAACUGGAAUUCUCGGUGUAGCGGUGAAAUGCGUAGAUAUCGAGAGGAACACCUGCGGCGAAGGCAGGUCUCUGGGCCAUUACUGACACUGAGAAGCGAAAGCAUGGGGAGCGAACAGG